This 428-nucleotide long non-coding RNA is filed under the name Notechis scutatus (mainland tiger snake). RNAcentral describes it as "lncRNA (ENSNSUG00000001947.1)". The record is from RNAcentral. Lineage: Eukaryota; Metazoa; Chordata; Lepidosauria; Squamata; Elapidae.
UAAAAUUUGUGUUGUUGCUCAGAAUAAAUCUGUCUUGAGCCUCUUUGCUUGCAGAAAAAGAAUUACAUGAAUUGGAUGAAUGGUCUGAUAAAAAACAUCAAUUGCUGAAAUCACUGCAAUCUAAUCAGAAAGAGCUGCAAGAAAUUAAGGAAUGUGCACCUAUGAAACCAGACAGUGUUAGUGAGCAUAAAUUGCAGGAAUUAAAUGAGGAAAUAAGAAAUUUGACCUUAGAGUUGGAGACAACUCUAAAUGGUAUGCAAAAUGUAUGUUGUCGUGCUUCAGAAAAAAUUAUAUUUAUACAACCUACUGAAAAAGAAUUACAUGAGUUGCAUGAACUAUCUGAAAAGAAAUAUCAAUUACUGGAAACACUGGGCUCUAAUCGGAAAGAACUACAAGAAAUUCAGGAACUUGUAACUACCCAACCAGGC